RNAcentral lists this ribosomal RNA (486 nucleotides) under uncultured bacterium. RNAcentral describes it as "partial 16S ribosomal RNA". It matches the Rfam family "Bacterial small subunit ribosomal RNA", at positions 30 to 507 of the family's 1533-position model. The record is from RNAcentral.
AUUGAACGCUGGCGGCAUGCCUUACACAUGCAAGUCGAACGGCAGCACGGGUGCUUGCACCUGGUGGCGAGUGGCGAACGGGUGAGUAAUACAUCGGAGCAUGUCCUGUAGUGGGGGAUAGCCCGGCGAAAGCCGGAUUAAUACCGCAUACGAUCUACGGAUGAAAGCGGGGGACCUUCGGGCCUCGCGCUAUAGGGUUGGCCGAUGGCCGAUUAGCUAGUUGGUGGGGUAAAGGCCUACCAAGGCGACGAUCAGUAGCUGGUCUGAGAGGACGACCAGCCACACUGGGACUGAGACACGGCCCAGACUCCUACGGGAGGCAGCAGUGGGGAAUUUUGGACAAUGGGCGAAAGCCUGAUCCAGCAAUGCCGCGUGUGUGAAGAAGGCCUUCGGGUUGUAAAGCACUUUUGUCCGGAAAGAAAUCCUUGGCCCUAAUACGGUCGGGGGAUGACGGUACCGGAAGAAUAAGCACCGGCUAACUACGUG